RNAcentral lists this ribosomal RNA (409 nucleotides) under bacterium enrichment culture clone ALO1_GLFRUDD03FYKXJ. RNAcentral's name for it is "bacterial SSU rRNA". It matches the Rfam family "Bacterial small subunit ribosomal RNA", at positions 9 to 418 of the family's 1533-position model. The record is from RNAcentral. RNAcentral also lists the same sequence under 3 other names.
GAGUUUGAUCUUGGCUCAGAUUGAACGCUGGCGGCAUGCCUUACACAUGCAAGUCGAACGGCAGCACGGGAGCUUGCUCCUGGUGGCGAGUGGCGAACGGGUGAGUAAUGCAUCGGAACGUAUCCUGGAGUGGGGGAUAACGUAGCGAAAGUUACGCUAAUACCGCAUAUUCUGUGAGCAGGAAAGCGGGGGACCUUCGGGCCUCGCGCUCUUGGAGCGGCCGAUGUCGGAUUAGCUAGUUGGUGAGGUAAAGGCUCACCAAGGCGACGAUCCGUAGCAGGUCUGAGAGGAUGAUCUGCCACACUGGAACUGAGACACGGUCCAGACUCCUACGGGAGGCAGCAGUGGGGAAUUUUGGACAAUGGGGGCAACCCUGAUCCAGCCAUGCCGCGUGAGUGAAGAAGGCCUU